Molecule: unclassified non-coding RNA, 151 nt
Filed under: soil metagenome
Description: partial internal transcribed spacer 1
Source: RNAcentral
CACAUUCUGGGGCGCUUCGGCGCUCCUUAUACACCCACCCUCGGCCUACGUGUACCUCUAUAGCUUCCUCGGCGGGCUCGCCCGCCGCCAGGAACCCACGAAACCCCUUGCAUUAUACGCGAAAACUUCUGAUAACAAACCUAAAUUAUCA